GCCGAGUGUGGUGGUGCACGCCUGCAAUCCCAGCAGCUCAGGAGGCUGAGGUAGGAGGAUCGCCAAGUUCCAGACCAGCCCUCAGCAACCUUGUGAGGCCCUAAGUGACUUAGCGAGACCCCAUCUCAA
This 129-nucleotide small RNA is filed under the name Marmota monax (woodchuck). The record is from RNAcentral. Lineage: Eukaryota; Metazoa; Chordata; Mammalia; Rodentia; Sciuridae.